GAGUUUGAUCGUGGCUCAGGAUGAACGCUGGCGGCGUGCUUAACACAUGCAAGUCGAGCGAAGCGCUUUGGUUAGAUUCUUCGGAUGAAGACCUUUGUGACUGAGCGGCGGACGGGUGAGUAACGCGUGGGCAACCUGCCUUGCACUGGGGGAUAACAGCCAGAAAUGGCUGCUAAUACCGCAUAAGACCGAAGCGCCGCAUGGCGCGGCGGCCAAAGCCCCGGCGGUGCAAGAUGGGCCCCGCGUCUGAUUAGGUAGUUGGCGGGUAACGGCCCACCAAGCCGACGAUCAGUAGCCGACCUGAGAGGGUGACCGGCCACAUUGGGACUGAGACACGGCCCAGACUCCUACGGGAGGCAGCAGUGGGGAAUAUUGCACAAUGGGGGAAACCCUGAUGCAGCGACGCCGCGUGAGCGAUGAAGUAUUUCGGUAUGUAAAGCUCUAUCAG
RNAcentral lists this ribosomal RNA (448 nucleotides) under uncultured bacterium. Its description in RNAcentral is "bacterial SSU rRNA". It matches the Rfam family "Bacterial small subunit ribosomal RNA", at positions 9 to 439 of the family's 1533-position model. The record is from RNAcentral.